This 302-nucleotide long non-coding RNA is filed under the name Panax ginseng (ginseng). Its description in RNAcentral is "long non-coding RNA (PGIN_LNC019181)". Lineage: Eukaryota; Viridiplantae; Streptophyta; Magnoliopsida; Apiales; Araliaceae. The record is from RNAcentral.
UUUUAUUACAUUAAUAAUACAAAUAAAACAAAACUGAGUGACUUAUCACGUAAACAUCAAUAAUCAAUACCGUGUGCUACUAUCCAACCACGCGUAUUACUGUACUUUUACUACCGAGUAGUUCAACAGUUUUAACGAUAAAACUUCCACCGUUAUUCUCAUAAAAAUAUUUUUGUCGUUUUCUCCAUCCAACAAUAAUUCCGUUGAGGGGUCCACCAAUGAUUGUACCGUCGUACGGAUAUUCCCCGACAAAAAGAAUAUUCCCCGACCAAUCAAAUAUUAUACAACAACUUGCAUACUUU